AGUGAACGCUGGCGGUAGGCCUAACACAUGCAAGUCGAACGGCAGCACAGUAAGAGCUUGCUCUUACGGGUGGCGAGUGGCGGACGGGUGAGGAAUACAUCGGAAUCUACUUUUUCGUGGGGGAUAACGUAGGGAAACUUACGCUAAUACCGCAUACGACCUACGGUUGAAAGCAGGGGAUCUUCGGACCUUGCGCGAUUGAAUGAGCCGAUGUCGGAUUAGCUAGUUGGCGGGGUAAAGGCCCACCAAGGCGACGAUCCGUAGCUGGUCUGAGAGGAUGAUCAGCCACACUGGAACUGAGACACGGUCCAGACUCCUACGGGAGGCAGCAGUGGGGAAUAUUGGACAAUGGGCGCAAGCCUGAUCCAGCCAUACCGCGUGGGUGAAGAAGGCCUUCGGGUUGUAAAGCCCUUUUGUUGGGAAAGAAAAGCAGCAGGUUAAUACCCCGCUGUUCUGACGGUACCCAAAGAAUAAGCACCGGCUAACCUCGUG
Molecule: ribosomal RNA, 492 nt
Filed under: uncultured bacterium
Lineage: Bacteria
Description: partial 16S ribosomal RNA
Rfam family: Bacterial small subunit ribosomal RNA
Source: RNAcentral